RNAcentral lists this transfer RNA (72 nucleotides) under Solirubrobacterales bacterium. RNAcentral's name for it is "tRNA-Trp". It matches the Rfam family "tRNA". From Rfam's summary of the family: Transfer RNA (tRNA) molecules are approximately 80 nucleotides in length. Their secondary structure includes four short double-helical elements and three loops (D, anti-codon, and T loops). Lineage: Bacteria; Bacillati; Actinomycetota; Thermoleophilia; Solirubrobacterales. The record is from RNAcentral.
GGGGCAAUGAUGUCAACGGUAGCAUGAUGGUCUCCAAAACCAUUCGUCCAGGUUCGAAUCCUGGUUGCCCCG